UCGUUAUAUGGCUUUGUGGUAUGUUACUUGAUGCUUAUCAUAUCACAAGUCAUCGCUUCGAGUAGAGCUAGUAGCUUAAGCAACAACAAACAGAAACAGAAGCAAUGCGAUUAAUUGCUCGUCAAUUGGAGGUAUUACAAAAUACCUUUCUUUUGUUACAAAUGCUUAUUUAUUUUCUAUUCCGACAAAAAUAUACCUACGUAGAUAUACUUUGCCCUCUUCAAAAAAAAAAAAAAAAAAAAGGAUAGAUAUACUUUGCCCGUGGAGGCCUGUAAUACUCUUUUUAAAACUUAUUUUCUCCUCUGUUAGGCGGCG
This 315-nucleotide long non-coding RNA is filed under the name Citrus x clementina. RNAcentral's name for it is "Citrus clementina (C. clementina) long non-coding RNA (CCLE_LNC001422)". The record is from RNAcentral. Lineage: Eukaryota; Viridiplantae; Streptophyta; Magnoliopsida; Sapindales; Rutaceae.